This 503-nucleotide ribosomal RNA is filed under the name uncultured bacterium. RNAcentral's name for it is "partial 16S ribosomal RNA". It matches the Rfam family "Bacterial small subunit ribosomal RNA", at positions 30 to 523 of the family's 1533-position model. The record is from RNAcentral.
AUUGAACGCUGGCGGCAGGCUUAACACAUGCAAGUCGAGCGGGGUGAUGGUGCUUGCACUAUCACUUAGCGGCGGACGGGUGAGUAAUGCUUAGGAAUCUGCCUAUUAGUGGGGGACAACAUCUCGAAAGGGAUGCUAAUACCGCAUACGUCCUACGGGAGAAAGCAGGGGAUCACUUGUGACCUUGUGCUAAUAGAUGAGCCUAAGUCGGAUUAGCUAGUUGGUGGGGUAAAGGCCUACCAAGGCGACGAUCUGUAGCGGGUCUGAGAGGAUGAUCCGCCACACUGGGACUGAGACACGGCCCAGACUCCUACGGGAGGCAGCAGUGGGGAAUAUUGGACAAUGGGGGGAACCCUGAUCCAGCCAUGCCGCGUGUGUGAAGAAGGCCUUAUGGUUGUAAGGCACUUUAAGCGAGGAGGAGGCUUACCUAGUUAAUACCUGGGAUAAGUGGACGUUACUCGCAGAAUAAGCACCGGCUAACUCUGUGCCAGCAGCCGCCGCCG